UACGUAGGGGGCUAGCGUUGUCUGGAUUUAUUGGGCGUAAAGAGCGUGUAGGCGGCCAGGUAGGUCUGCUGUGAAAACUCGAGGCUCAACCUCGAGACGUCGGCGGAAACCAUCUGGCUAGAGUCCGGAAGAGGAGAGUGGAAUUCCUGGUGUAGCGGUGAAAUGCGCAGAUAUCAGGAGGAACACCGGUGGCGAAGGCGGAUCUCUGGGCCAUUACUGACGCUGAGGAGCGAAAGCGUGGGGAGCGAACAGG
RNAcentral lists this ribosomal RNA (253 nucleotides) under uncultured bacterium. RNAcentral describes it as "partial 16S ribosomal RNA". It matches the Rfam family "Bacterial small subunit ribosomal RNA", at positions 524 to 776 of the family's 1533-position model. The record is from RNAcentral.